GAUGAACGCUAGCUACAGGCUUAACACAUGCAAGUCGAGGGGCAGCAUGGUCUUAGCUUGCUAAGGCCGAUGGCGACCGGCGCACGGGUGAGUAACACGUAUCCAACCUGCCGUCUACUCUUGGACAGACUUCUGAAAGGAAGAUUAAUACAAGAUGGCAUCAUGAGUCCGCAUGUUCACAUGAUUAAAGGUAUUACGGUAGACGAUGGGGAUGCGUUCCAUUAGAUAGUAGGCGGGGUAACGGCCCACCUAGUCUUCGAUGGAUAGGGUUUCUGAAAGAAAGGUCCCCCACAUUGGAAAUGCGACCCGGUCCAAACUCCUACGGGAGGCAGCAGUGAGGAAUAUUGUUCAAUGGGCGAGAGCCUGAACCAGCCAAGUAGCGUGAAGGAUGACUGCCCUAUGGGUUGUAAACUUCUUUUAUAAAGGAAUAAAGUCGGGUAUGCAUACCCGUUUGCAUGUACCUUAUGAAUAAUGACCGGCUAAUUCCGUGCCAGCAGCCGCGGUAA
RNAcentral lists this ribosomal RNA (506 nucleotides) under uncultured bacterium. Its description in RNAcentral is "partial 16S ribosomal RNA". It matches the Rfam family "Bacterial small subunit ribosomal RNA", at positions 28 to 523 of the family's 1533-position model. The record is from RNAcentral.